RNAcentral lists this ribosomal RNA (253 nucleotides) under uncultured bacterium. RNAcentral's name for it is "partial 16S ribosomal RNA". It matches the Rfam family "Archaeal small subunit ribosomal RNA", at positions 474 to 727 of the family's 1478-position model. The record is from RNAcentral.
UACCAGCACCCCGAGUGGUCGGGACGAUUAUUGGGCCUAAAGCAUCCGUAGCCGGUUUUACAAGUCCUCCGUUAAAUCCAGCUGCUUAACAGAUGGGCUGCGGAGGAUACUAUAAGACUAGGAGGCAGGAGAGGCAAGCGGUACUCAGUGGGUAGGGGUAAAAUCCGUUGAUCCGUUGAAGACCACCAGUGGCGAAGGCGGCUUGCCAGAACGCACUCGACGGUGAGGGAUGAAAGCUGGGGGAGCAAACCGG